UAGAACGGAUUACUUCGGUUUGAAGUUCUUUAUGACUGAGUGGCGGACGGGUGAGUAACGCGUGGGUAACCCGCCUUGUACUGGGGGAUAGCAGCUGGAAACGGCUGGUAAUACCGCAUAAGCGCACAAUGUUGCAUGACAUGGUGUGAAAAACUCCGGUGGUAUAAGAUGGACCCGCGUCUGAUUAGCUAGUUGGUGAGAUAACAGCCCACCAAGGCGACGAUCAGUAGCCGACCUGAGAGGGUGAUCGGCCACAUUGGGACUGAGACACGGCCCAGACUCCUACGGGAGGCAGCAGUGGGGAAUAUUGCACAAUGGAGGAAACUCUGAUGCAGCGACGCCGCGUGAGUGAAGAAGUAAUUCGUUAUGUAAAGCUCUAUCAGCAGGGAAGAUAGUGACGGUACCUGACUAAGAAGCUCCGGCUAAAUACGUGCCAGCAGCCGCGGUAAUACGUAUGGAGCAAGCGUUAUCCGGAUUUACUGGGUGUAAAGGG
RNAcentral lists this ribosomal RNA (493 nucleotides) under uncultured bacterium. RNAcentral describes it as "bacterial SSU rRNA". It matches the Rfam family "Bacterial small subunit ribosomal RNA", at positions 62 to 567 of the family's 1533-position model. The record is from RNAcentral.